AGAGUUCGAUCAUGGCUCAGAUUGAAUUGGCGGAUGCUUUUACACAUGCAAGUCGAACGCAGCACGGACUUCGGUCUGGUGGCGAGUGGCGAACGGGUGAGUAAUGUAUCGGAACGUGCCUAGUAGCGGGGAUAACUACGCGAAAGCGUAGCUAAUACCGUAUAUUGCCCUUCGGGGGAAAGCGGGGGACCUUCGGGCCUCGCACUAUUAGAGCACGGAUAUCGGAUUAGCCAGCUGGUGGGGGUAACGGCUCACCAAGGCGACGAUCCGUAGCUGGUUUGAGAGGACGACCAGCCACACUGGGACUGAGACACGGCCCAGACUCCUACGGGAGGCAGCAGGGGGAAUUUUGGACAAUGGGGAAACCCUGAUCCAGCCAUCUCAUGUGCGAUGAAGGCCUUUCGGGUUGUAAAGCACUUUUGGCAGGAGAAAGAAACGCACGGAUAACACCCGUGCAACUGACGGUACCUGCAGAAUAAGCACCGGCUAACCAUGCACAGCAGCCGCGGUACGUAGGGGUGCGUUAAUCGGAAUUACUGGCGUAAAGCGCGCAGGCGGUUCUGUUAAGAUGUGAACCCCAGAGCUUAACUUUGGAACUGUACUUUAACUACCGAGCUAGAGUGUGUCAGAGGGAGGUGGAAUUCGCGUAGCAGUGAAAUGUGUAGAUAUGCGGAGGAACACCGAUGGCGAAGGCAGCCUCCGGGAUAACACUGACGCUCAUGCACGAAAGCGUGGGGAGCAAACAGGAUUAGAUAAUUCUGGUAGUCCACGCUCUAAACGAUGUCAACUAGCUGUUGGGGCCUUCGGCCCAGGUAGCGCAGCUAACGCGUGAAGUUGACCGCCUGGGGAGUACGGUCGCAAGAUUAAAACUCAAAGGAAUUGACGGGGACCCGCACAAGCGGUGGAUGAUGUGACUAAUUCGAUGCAACGCGAAAAACCUUACCUACCCUUGACAUGUCUGGAAUCCCAAGAGAUUUGGGAUAUCGCUACAAGAGAACCGGAACACAGGUGCUGCAUGGCUGUCGUCAGCCAAGUCAGAGAUGUUGCUAAAGUCCUGCAACGAGCGCAACCCUUGUCAUUAGUUGCUACGAAAGGGCACCCCCAUCGAGAUCGCCGGUGACAAACCGAGGACAGGGAUGACGUCAAGCUCUAUGGCCCUUAUGGGUAGGGCUUCACACGUCAUACAAUGGUCGUGGGACAGAGGGUCGCCAACCCGCGAGGGGGAGCUGCUAAAUCCCAGAAAACCCAAUCGUAGUCCGGAUCGCAGUCUGCAACUCGACUGCGUGAAGUCGGAAUCGCUAGUAAUCGCGGAUCAGCAUGUCGCGUGAAUACGUUCCCGGGUCUUGUACAUACCCCGCCCGUCACACUGGGAGUGGGUUUUAAACAGAAGUAGUUAGCCUAACCGUAAGGAGGGCGAUUACCACGGUAGGAUUCAUGACUGGGGGUAGUCGCAACAAGGUAACUCUUGUUACUACCUGAUGU
This 1482-nucleotide ribosomal RNA is filed under the name uncultured Bordetella sp. RNAcentral describes it as "partial 16S-23S ribosomal RNA intergenic spacer". It matches the Rfam family "Bacterial small subunit ribosomal RNA". Lineage: Bacteria; Pseudomonadati; Pseudomonadota; Betaproteobacteria; Burkholderiales; Alcaligenaceae. The record is from RNAcentral.